RNAcentral lists this ribosomal RNA (500 nucleotides) under uncultured bacterium. Its description in RNAcentral is "bacterial SSU rRNA". It matches the Rfam family "Archaeal small subunit ribosomal RNA", at positions 544 to 1045 of the family's 1478-position model. The record is from RNAcentral.
GAUAAAGCCUGAAGCUUAACUCCAGAAAGUCUGAAGAGACUGCAAGACUUGAGAUCGGGUGAGGUUAAACGUACUUUCAGGGUAGGGGUAAAAUCCUGUAAUCCCGGAAGGACGACCAGUGGCGAAAGCGUUUAACUAGAACGAAUCUGACGGUAAGGAACGAAGGCUAGGGUAGCAAACCGGAUUAGAUACCCGGGUAGUCCUAGCUGUAAACAUUGCCCAUUUGAUGUUGCUUUCCCGUUGAGGGAAGGCAGUGUCGGAGCGAAGGUGUUAAAUGGGCCGCUUGGGAAGUAUGGUCGCAAGACUGAAACUUAAAGGAAUUGGCGGGGGAGCACCGCAACGGGAGGAAUGUGCGGUUUAAUUGGAUUCAACGCCGGAAAACUCACCGGGAACGACCUGUGCAUGAGAGUCAACUUGACGAGCUUACUCGAUAGCAGGAGAGGUGGUGCAUGGCCGUCGUCAGCUCGUACCGUACGGCGUUCCUUGAGUGUGAUAACGAG